Molecule: ribosomal RNA, 369 nt
Filed under: Dolabella sp. DTLT2001
Lineage: Eukaryota; Metazoa; Mollusca; Gastropoda; Aplysiida; Aplysiidae
Description: eukaryotic LSU rRNA
Rfam family: Eukaryotic large subunit ribosomal RNA
Source: RNAcentral
CCGCUGAAUUUAAGCAUAUAACUAAGCGGAGGAAAAGAAACUAACAAGGAUUUCCCCAGUAACGGCGAGUGAAGCGGGAAAAGCCCAGCACCGAAUCCCCCAGUGUUGUGCUGGCGGGAACUGUGGUGUGUGGGACGCCACCAGUCGUGCGUGCGAGCGCCGAAGUCCUCCUGAUCGAGGCUUCACCCAGAGCGGGUGUAAGGCCUUUGCUGGUGCUUCGCUGUGCGGCCGCGAGCGUCUCAGGAGUCGGGUUGUUUGGGAAUGCAGCCCAAAGUGGGUGGUAAACUCCAUCUAAGGCUAAAUACUGGCACGAGUCCGAUAGCGGACAAGUACCGUGAGGAAAGUUGAAAAGAACUUUGAAGAGAGAGU